CGAAAGCCUGACGGAGCAAUACCGCGUGAGGGAGGAAGGCUCUUGGGUCGUAAACCUCUUUUCUCAGGGAAGAACACAAUGACGGUACCUGAGGAAUAAGCAUCGGCUAACUCCGUGCCAGCAGCCGCGGUAAUACGGAGGAUGCAAGCGUUAUCCGGAAUGAUUGGGCGUAAAGCGUCCGCAGGUGGCUAUGUAAGUCUGCUGUUAAAGAGUCUAGCUCAACUAGAUAAGAGCAGUGGAAACUACAUGGCUAGAGUGCGUUCGGGGCAGAGGGAAUUCCUGGUGUAGCGGUGAAAUGCGUAGAGAUCAGGAAGAACACCGGUGGCGAAGGCGCUCUGCUAGGCCGCAACUGACACUGAGGGACGAAAGCUAGGGGAGCG
This 380-nucleotide ribosomal RNA is filed under the name Nostoc sp. pmaA. RNAcentral's name for it is "bacterial SSU rRNA". It matches the Rfam family "Bacterial small subunit ribosomal RNA", at positions 376 to 770 of the family's 1533-position model. The record is from RNAcentral. Lineage: Bacteria; Bacillati; Cyanobacteriota; Cyanophyceae; Nostocales; Nostocaceae. RNAcentral also lists the same sequence under 1 other name.